GCCUGGCUGGCUCAGUUGGUAGAACAUAGGACUCUCGAUCUAAGGGUUGUGAGUUCAGGCCCCAUGUUAGGCA
This 73-nucleotide transfer RNA is filed under the name Mustela putorius furo (domestic ferret). It matches the Rfam family "tRNA". From Rfam's summary of the family: Transfer RNA (tRNA) molecules are approximately 80 nucleotides in length. Their secondary structure includes four short double-helical elements and three loops (D, anti-codon, and T loops). Further hydrogen bonds mediate the characteristic L-shaped molecular structure. tRNAs have two regions of fundamental functional importance: the anti-codon, which is responsible for specific mRNA codon recognition, and the 3' end, to which the tRNAs corresponding amino acid is attached (by aminoacyl-tRNA synthetases). tRNAs cope with the degeneracy of the genetic code in two manners: having more than one tRNA (with a specific anti-codon) for a particular amino acid; and 'wobble' base-pairing, i.e. permitting non-standard base-pairing at the 3rd anti-codon position. The record is from Rfam by way of RNAcentral. Lineage: Eukaryota; Metazoa; Chordata; Mammalia; Carnivora; Mustelidae.